CCCGCCGGCCUGGCGCGGGGCGUCCUAGGCUCCGCUGGGCCGCCGCCUGGCUCGCGGAAGACACGCCGAGAAACGUUCCAUCGGGCCCCCAGAAACCUCAGAACAGGUUUUAUUAAACGCCUCCCCUCCCCUAGCUCCGUCUCUUGGAUACAUUGAAAGGCACAGGGUUUCCCCACCCCCCGCCGAGCGCAGACGCAUUGAAAAUAAUUAUAUAGGAAGGGACAUUCCGGUAAGGACGCGGAAUCCGAAGGAGGAAGUAAAACAAUAGCCUUUGUUCUGCUUCUCGACCGCGGCCUCUUUAAGAGAAUCCACCAGGAAAUGGGAGAUCGGGUUACAGCCCGCACCGGGGUAAAGGGGCGAGCUAGCGAGCGAGCGAGUCGCGGAGCGCGACGUCGGAGACAAAGCGGGGCGGCCGCCGGCAGAAGCCCAGCCUGGCCGCGGGGGAUUCCCCGCGAAGGUGGGCGCCCGGAAAAGAGGAGGCGCGCGCGCCCGCCAGGCCGGGGAUGCGGGCGCUGCCCCAGCCGAGCACGCGUCCUGGAGAAGGAAAGGCUGUUGGGAGGUUAUCAAAGGCAGUUGAGUUCCUUUUCCUGACCCCCUUCCUCCCUGUUUCGAAAUCCUCUGUCUUUUUAAAGCAAUAGCGGCCGCUACCAACCGAAAUAGGUGACUAGACUGCAAAGUUGACAGGACGUGUUCCUGGAGAUAAUACCCCUCCCCAGGACUGCUUCUCUGAAACCAUCAUUGGCGGAUGGGACGACCCCGGGAUCCUGCCGGGGGAGGAAUAUUUGGUUGGAAAAACAAUUGAGAGGAGGUUAAAUCCUGUCGGGCUGAAGGUUCUAGCCUUGAGUGACUCAACAAAAGUGGCGUGUAAAGGAGACUGUGUGUGGUUCCAAAGCAAAAUGCCCAGUAGCAGCUGUGGAAGACAUUGCAUUUAGCCAGGGGUGUUAGGGAAUGAAUUAUGGUCUCUUGUGACUUUCUACAUACAAACUGGAAGAGGAACCUGAAUGUCUAGUCUUUAUCCUCCAAAAGAGUG
Molecule: long non-coding RNA, 1030 nt
Organism: Orcinus orca (killer whale)
Lineage: Eukaryota; Metazoa; Chordata; Mammalia; Artiodactyla; Delphinidae
Exons: 3
Source: RefSeq, a predicted model, not a curated record